UGAGGAAUAUUGGUCAAUGGGCGGGAGCCUGAACCAGCCAAGUCGCGUGAGGGAAGACGGUCCUACGGAUUGUAAACCUCUUUAGCGGGGGAGCAAAACGGCCUUGCGAGGCCUCAUGCGAGCGUACCCCGAGAAUAAGCAUCGGCUAACUCCGUGCCAGCAGCCGCGGUAAUACGGAGGAUGCGAGCGUUAUCCGGAUUUAUUGGGUUUAAAGGGUGCGUAGGCGGAGUGGUAAGUCAGCGGUAAAAAUUCGGGGCUCAACCCCGUAGUGCCGUUGAAACUGCCGUUCUAGAGUGGGCGAGAAGUAUGCGGAAUGCGUGGUGUAGCGGUGAAAUGCAUAGAUAUCACGCAGAACCCCGAUUGCGAAGGCAGCAUACCGGCGCCCUACUGACGCUGAGGCACGAAAGCGUGGGUAUCAAACAGG
Molecule: ribosomal RNA, 424 nt
Filed under: uncultured bacterium
Lineage: Bacteria
Description: bacterial SSU rRNA
Rfam family: Bacterial small subunit ribosomal RNA
Source: RNAcentral